Long non-coding RNA from Pseudopipra pipra, 4086 nucleotides. RefSeq lists it as uncharacterized. The transcript has 2 exons. The record is from RefSeq and is a predicted model, not a curated record. NCBI's taxonomy places the organism in Eukaryota, Metazoa, Chordata, Aves, Passeriformes, Pipridae.
UUAGCUGGGUGAUGCAAUCCAUGUCACACAAGCCAAGUAAAUUUGAUUUAAGUAAAUUUAAGUAAAUUUGAAUUCAUUAGGUUGACUUGCCAAGUGUGUCUAUACCGGCCCUGCUGGACCAGAGGAGCAGGAUGGGGCCAGUGACUACAACUUCAUUUAAAGACAAGUAUUGAUUGGUGUGUCUGCCCUGCUGGAUGAGGUUGUGGGUUUGUAUAAGAGGCUUUUGGCUCUACAUUGGUGUUUCCCUAACCCAUUACAGAAAAUCCAGGUCCAUUUCAAGUGGCAAGUGCUGGAAAGGGCUUGGAGCAAUCUGGUCUAGUGGAAGGUGUCCCUGCCCAUGGCAGGAGGGGGAACUAGAUGGACUUUAAGGUCCCUUCCAACCCACACCAUUCUGUGAUUGUGUGCUGCUGUGUGUACCCCGUUUGAAAUGUUUUAAAAGUCUAAAUUCUGAACCCUGAAAGGUUGGCAGCUUGGUGAGCACCUGUGCAGUUUCUGUCAUCUGGAGCCACUCAGCACACACACAGUUGUGGUGAGUGCUUUAUUGAGCAGGAAAAUAUGCAAGAAGAAAUGUUGAAAGCAGUAAAAUUAAUCAUAUGAGGUUAGUUAAAUAUGUGCCUAAAUGUUUGUGGAACCAACUAGAGAACUGGAGAAGGUUCAAAUGUACUAGCAAUAACAGAAGUCUUUGCUGCUUUUUUUUAAUAAUAAUGUCUUUGUUCAUACUUCUUGAAACACAUGUAGCAGGCACAGAAAGUGUCAUCAGAUGAAGCUGAUGAAGCAUCUCCAGGAUCAGAGUUACCAGUGCUGUCAGAGAGCAGUGUUUGAAGCAAGAUUAAGGCUUAUGGAGGCUCGUGGCCUGUUUGUGAUGCUCAGCUGGCUGGUGGAAGCUGCAGGUGCCAGGACAGCCCGUGGGAGAGCAGCACUUCAAGGGAAUUCAGUGAUAUUAGGCAGAGGGAAAAGUUGCUUCUAUAAAGACAUUGUAUGGGAGUGCUGUGGCACCUGGGUCUUUCAAGGAGUUGCAUGGGUGCAGUGCUUAGCAUGGAACAGCCCAGAUCAUAGCCAAGGCCUCCAGGGAUGGCCAAAUCAAGCAUAAAUAGCAACAACUGCAUAAUUAGUGCCAGAGAUCAGAUCAUUCCUUUAAAAUUCAGGACAUAGUCAAUAAUACCUGUGUUGUGGUUCACUGGAUGCUUUUGACAUACUGUUUUUUCCUCCUAGGUUUUUAAGCAUCAUUUUCUGUCGGGUUGCAGGCUGUCAUUUAAUAACCUUUGUCACUGCCUUUGCUGAACCCUCUUGCAUGGAGGCAAUGUAAACUGCAGUUUAACUUACAGCAGUAUCAGAAAUAUGCUGAUGAAACAACAGUAAAACUCUGGCCUUGGGCUAAAGAAAUUAUGGGAUUUCUCUGGCAAUACUGGAAAUGUCUAAGCCCUUGUUCCUCGUUAUUUGCAGAAACCCCUCAGCAGCCAAUCUGACCUGUCUGCCUGUCUGGAAGGGUUUGGGGGGGUCUUUGAGGCAGGCUGGGAGAUGCAAUCCAGCAGCAGGCUCUGGAGAGCUGCACUGGGAAAGUUGAUCUCAUUUGGUCAGGAUUUGGUAAGCAGUGGAGAAGCAGCAGUCAUAGCUGUGGGAAUUGGGGACAGCAGAGUGGAAUUGGGGACAGCAGAAUGGAAAAGUGACAGGAAGGAAAAAAAAACACAAACCCAAACCACUUUGUUCAGGUCAUUCAAUGUAACUGGUUAAGAAUAAUCAUUUUCCUUGGGUAAAGUCAAGUAGCCUUAUUUAUCUGCCUAUUAGGUUGGUAAUUGUUCUAGCUCACACCAUUUAAAAUCUUUAUUGACUCAUUAUCCUAUUGCCAGUUGGUCAUUAAUAUUUGUGUCUGCGUCACAGUACAGCUCAGUGGUUUCAAGCAGAUGGAUUAAAGCUAAAAGGAGCUCUUUUUUAAUUAAUUCCUUUUUUUCUGUAUCAAUUAAAAAGUCAUAAUUGCAGAUAGCUAGGAACUUGAUAACUUAUUCAAAUUGACAUGGUCUUUUGCUAGAAGAGCUGUCUAAAAUCUUUCAGUGCAUAUAUAUGUCCAAUAGGAGCCCUAAAUAACAUUUUGAUAACUCAUAGUACAGAUAGGGACUCUGACAAAAUGACUGCUGACCUCUUCUUUUCAGACUGUCUUGCUACAUCAUCUCCCACACUAUUACAGCAAUUAACUUAGUGUAACAACAUAUAGUACACUCCAAUAAAAAUGAUAAGCAAACAUAUUAAUUUGUCAUUGGUUUCAUGUGACUGAAGCCAUUUUAACCUCUUAAAACUGUGUUGGCUGCAUUAUUUCUUUUGUUUUCAGCCAAAUUCUGCUCUGCAAUUAUUUGAGUUAGUGUUUGAGGGAGUAGCAAUGGAAUUUCUGCCAGCAGAAUUUGGCCUGGUUCAUAUUUAUGGUGGCUGCAGGGGAGGUGCUUCUCUCUUGUUUGUUUGUUUUUAGCUGACAGUAUAGGCAGAUGGAGCAGAAAAAUGACCCCAGAAGCUGAUGGACACUGAAACAUCCUGAGCAAGAUGACAUUCAGUAACACACUUCCCAGUGCUGUAGAGACCCUCCUGAGGAAGGCAUCAAUAGUCACUAUCCAAGAUUCAGUGUGCACUGAGAGGGAGUUGGUGAAUCAGAGGCUGAAAGGAUGAACCACAGAAGUAUUUGUUGUACAGAGCAGACCUUCUGCUGCACUCAAGUGGUAAGGUGACUGUAGAUCCUUCCUGUUACUCAGCCAUCCCAUGGCAGCCAGACCUUACCCGUGUGCCAAAGGGUGUUGGCACCCCUGGUUUAACCCAGGAGCCACCGUGCCAGGGAUGUCUUUAAAUUCUCCAGAGACUCUUGCUGUUGACUUUAGAUGGGGAUAUUAGAGCAGUGGAUGACUAAAAAAUCCAAAAGCAGCUUGAUGAGAUUAUUUGUCCCUUUAAAACUUUUAACCCAUAACAUUUCUUGAUUGUUUAAUUUGUUUGUUGUUGUUUUUAAAAAUCCUUAUAACAAAGUUAAACACAACUCUUUUCAGUGUGUGUGGUUAACUGGCAGAUGCCAUGGAUCAGAAAGCCCAUGGACAAGAUCAGAAAGGUGACUUAAAGGCUUGUCCUGGAGCCAGCCCUAACAGUGCCUCUGUGUUUGUGCUCUUAUUGUCUUAAUCGAUUUACACAGCAUUGACACGAGGUGAGCUAGUCCCUUUUUAUCUUACAAAUAGCAGGGAGCUGGUCUCUUACAAGACAGAAGGUGGUUAAACAUCCAUAAAAGAUGCUCAGCCUGUGCUCUGGCAUUUGCAUUUACAGCUGUGUGCUGAUAGUGUGUCCAUUAGCAUAUCCAUAUGAAAAGCACACAGUAGUUGGACAUUUACAACAUCCUGUUGUUGGGCCGGGACGGUGCAUCUGUCAGCACGACUUUCCACUGAGUCCUUUAGAAGAGCAGCGGAAAUCUGGGGAGCGGGGAGGUUGUGGAGCAGCUGGACAGUCCUGUUAAAAUAAAAUACCUGGAGAGUCUAACAAGGCCAGGAUUGCGAGGAGAACAAGCGGAACUGGGACUGUAAAGCAAUUCAGCGCGUGGGGGUUCGGGUGGGACAGUUGGGAGCUCACAAAGAGCCCUUUGGAAGUGUGUGUGCCACAAGGAGCAGGAAAUCUUUGUUGUCACAGAAGAUAACCCAGGCAUGGCUUAGCACAGGCCGUGCAGAGUUUCAAGGCUUGCUGUGCCUUCAGGACCUGUGAUAGCAAAGGAGUUGUUUCUCUUAGAAAGAGAUUUUCAAAUAAACUACACCAACUCUUGUGUAAAUAUCUUUUUGUUUGUCUUUGUACUUGACUCUCUCUGCGUUUUCUGCCCGUGGAUCCUGAAGAAGGGUAGGUGUCACUGCCCUUUCUGAAACAGUAGAGACACAAAAAGAUGAAGCACUUCUGUGUUUUCAUAUGGCUGUUCCAUGGCAGAGCCAGAAAGGGAUCCAGGAAUUGAUCCUCAGUGGAUGCAGAGUUGUCACAGCUCCACUCUGGUCUCUAACAUCAGCUAUGCCCUCAGUUUUUGAGAGCAGUGGAUGUUCCUAACCCAUACUUGUUUUCCUAAUCAGCAGUGUUCUUUUUUUUUUU